Molecule: long non-coding RNA, 1031 nt
Organism: Micropterus salmoides (largemouth bass)
Lineage: Eukaryota; Metazoa; Chordata; Actinopteri; Centrarchiformes; Centrarchidae
Exons: 3
Source: RefSeq, a predicted model, not a curated record
UUAUCUCAUGAACCAGUGUUUAAGAGAGCGAAACUAACUUCCACAGCAGGCCAGAUAAAGUCAAGUGUUCAGUGAGUACCUACAGAUGAAAUGGCCCCUGCUAGAUGUUCAACCAGGAGGUCUUCAAAGUAGACAAGCACUUAAAGAUGCCAGGUCCCCGUCACCGGCACACAUCGUUGGGCCCUUCUGCUGGGAAUUCCCCGGACAGUCAGAUCUGAGCCUUCACCAAUUUCAUUUGGUGAGAGACCUUUGAAUUCCAAAAAUAUCUUGUUGGAUUUAUUUGGUUGAUUCCACACACAAAUUAACACCUCAUAAUUGAUGAUUUUAAAACAAGAAUAAUGAAUGAAAAAACCUAAAUCCUGGUGAUGAUGCUGAUAAUCAUGCUGUGUUGUGCUUUCUGCUAUAAUUCAGUGCUGCUGCUUUGUUGCUCGUGUGCUUUUUAAUGUGUAAAAUGCCAAUCCAGGUGAUAAAAUAUUUUUUUUUGGGGGGGGGGCAUAUUUUGGAUGGUAUGUGACUCAUACAGUUGACCAACGUGCUUUCUUAAAAUUUUAAAUACUAAACUGUCUGUCGCGCUUCAUGGGGUAGUCAAAGUGUUUUCUUGUUGAACUUUGUUGAGCCUAUAACUCAUUUUUGUGUGCUAAGGAUUCUGUUUGACUUCUUUAUUUGUGUUAUGCCUAACCAGUGUCAGUUUUCAGGAUUGUUCUGGUUUUAUUGACAACAUCCUUUUUAGCUUUGGGAGUAAUUGUGUAUGUAUUUGGUUUGAAUUAGCCUACAAUCCAUGCAUAAGGGAAGAGUCUUUCUGUUGGGUUUGUAUUUCUUUGAGAAGCUGUUUAUAAGAGACUUCUCUUUAUUAACAGCAUCUGGGUCUGAAUGUAAGACACACACUGUAUGUGUCCACUGGUUGAAGAUUUGGAUUAAAGAUAACCUAACCUGACUGUGCUGUAACACUGCAUGUCCUUUUCUAAUUCAAAAUAGUAGAACAGUCCAGAUUCUUUGGUCAUUGUCCUGCAGCUCUUUAAAAAAAUGAAACC